AUAUGUUUCAUCUGUCACAGGUCUUUUGUAUACCAACAAUGAGAGCGGCUUACCAGGACACUGAUAGUACUGUACAGCUAGUGGACCAAUGAUAUAAGACUACUCUGCUGUUCACUCUUUAGUAGCUGGAUAUCAGUCCUAAUAUUUUGAGUAUUGCAGCACACAAGUAAUGCUAUGCAGGAGAAGACCCGGACAUCCCUAGAAUGACCCAGCCCAAAGAAUGCCCUGGACAGAUUUCAUGAAGAUUGAUUGGACUUGAUCCAUCAUUUUACGGAAAAUUAAUUAUUUCAAAUACAUGCACCACUUUAUGCAACCUGCCUGAUUUGCAUUGAGGAAAAUUCAGCAGAAGUAAUUGAGGCACAAGCAAAUACUGGCACUGACUGAACUCAAUUUUCAAUCCAAAUUUCUGCAAAAUCCCAAGACACAACAAUAUCAGAUGCAAGGGGGAAAACAAACAAAAGCAAUGUGAAAAGGGAACAUGAAGAGAGAAUAUUACAAGAAUCAGAGAACAAAGGGAUAGCAAAACUAUUUUAGUGCCAUAGAUGAACAGUGAGGGCUUCAUUCAGGCAAGGUGGAAUAAGAUAUCAUAUGGCAUCCUGACAAUUGAUGUCUUCAUUUAAAUAUUUUCAGUUUCAAGUGAUAAACUACUACCAAAAGAAAAUUUGAGACAUUGUGAUUAUUUUAUAACCACUGGAAAAAGAAC
This is a long non-coding RNA of Mauremys mutica (yellowpond turtle), 703 nucleotides long. RefSeq lists it as uncharacterized. The transcript is spliced from 4 exons. The record is from RefSeq and is a predicted model, not a curated record. NCBI's taxonomy places the organism in Eukaryota, Metazoa, Chordata, Testudines, Geoemydidae.